CCUACGGGUGGCUGCAGUGGGGAAUAUUGCACAAUGGAGGGAACUCUGAUGCAGCGACGCCGCGUGAGUGAAGAAGGUCUUCGGAUCGUAAAACUCUGUCCUUGGUGAAGAAAAAAAUGACGGUAGCCAAGGAGGAAGCCCCGGCUAACUACGUGCCAGCAGCCGCGGUAAUACGUAGGGGGCGAGCGUUGUCCGGAUUUACUGGGCGUAAAGGGUGAGUAGGCGGUUGUAUAUGUCAGGUGUAAAAGGCACAGGCUUAACUUGUGUUAGCACUUGAAACUGUACAACUUGAGUGCAGGAGAGGUAAGCGGAAUUCCUAGUGUAGCGGUGAAAUGCGUAGAUAUUAGGAGGAACACCAGUGGCGAAGGCGGCUUACUGGACUGUAACUGACGCUGAGUCACGAAAGCGUGGGUAGCAAACAGGAUUAGAUACCCUUGUAGUC
RNAcentral lists this ribosomal RNA (442 nucleotides) under uncultured Sedimentibacter sp. RNAcentral describes it as "bacterial SSU rRNA". It matches the Rfam family "Bacterial small subunit ribosomal RNA", at positions 338 to 795 of the family's 1533-position model. Lineage: Bacteria; Bacillati; Bacillota; Tissierellia. The record is from RNAcentral.